CCUACGGGAGGCAGCAGUGAGGAAUAUUGGUCAAUGGACGAGAGUCUGAACCAGCCAAGUAGCGUGAAGGAUGACUGCCCUAUGGGUUGUAAACUUCUUUUAUAAAGGAAUAAAACGAGGCACGUGUGCCGUUUUGCAUGUACUUUAUGAAUAAGGAUCGGCUAACUCCGUGCCAGCAGCCGCGGUAAUACGGAGGAACCGAGCGUUAUCCGGAUUUAUUGGGUUUAAAGGGAGCGUAGAUGGGUUGUUAAGUCAGUUGUGAAAGUUUGCGGCUCAACCGUAAAAUUGCAAUUGAUACUGGCAGUCUUGAGUACAGUUGAGGUAGGCGGAAUUCGUGGUGUAGCGGUGAAAUGCUUAGAUAUCACGAAGAACCCCGAUUGCGAAGGCAGCUUACUAAACUGUGACUGACAUUGAUGCUCGAAAGUGUGGGUAUCAAACAGGAUUAGAUACCCCGGUAGUC
RNAcentral lists this ribosomal RNA (460 nucleotides) under uncultured bacterium. RNAcentral's name for it is "partial 16S ribosomal RNA". It matches the Rfam family "Bacterial small subunit ribosomal RNA", at positions 338 to 795 of the family's 1533-position model. The record is from RNAcentral.